CUCGGUACUGAAACCAUUGAGUACCGCGAAAGACCGCCGCACGUCGCUUCGGCUAUCUUCGCUAAUAGUCGGCUAACUUCGGGCACGCUCGCACUUCCGUCCUCGUCGCGUCGCUUCUCGCACGCUAUCCGCUGUUGCUUUCUAACUAUUUCCUACGAUCAAGUUUCUCUUCUCUUCUUCCUCUCGUUUUCUUCGCCACGCACGCCGCGAGGAAAUCAUAGUGAUUUAGUGGCGCGGCUAAUGAGUCACCGUAAUCGUCGCGAUGUCGAUAUUUUGUGCGCGGGUGUGGGAUAUUCGAAGGAUCAACGAGGAACGCGGCAAACAAACGGCAGCUUCGAACGGCGUCGAGGGAUGUUGUUCCUCCCAUUUUAAUAAAGGCCGCAAUAUAGCCGUGAAGGAACAUCUCGCGUUCUAGCUGAAUCACUUUCAACCCGGACCGUUUUUAUUAGACGAACGAACACUGGACUGGAGUACGAAGGAUAUUCGACCAAGAGAUGCUUGAGUGCGGGUAGUGGGGGGAUCUAUAUGCAUGGGGCCUUCACCUCUACAUCGUCAGUUUCCACGCGACCGUCGCGGAGAGUGGUAGGAGACCUGUGAAGCCUAUGGAGGGAGAAACCAUAACAUCGCCAUCUUCCCUGGAUUCGUCGCGGGUCGCAAGGGAUUGCUAUUUUUCCUGGGAUGCCUGAUUUAAUCGUGAGUGUACUACUCGCCAGUGUCUGACCAUACAGAGCGUCUACUACUGCGACGCUGCGCCCCAUAACGGUACACAUUCAAGAAGUAGAUAAAAAAAUUCGCCGUUUUAAUUUCCAAUAAAUCGUCGAGAAAAGUGUAGCUCGGUGAACAAAUUCGCCGGUCCGCCUGGUACGGGAGAAUAAAGGAGAGAAAAGGCAGAAAGAAGCGAAGCAAAGGGAAGGAAAUUAUAGAAAUUCGCGAAUAGAAGUUCGGAGGCGCUUUGUCAUCCGGGAUAUAAGAAGCGGCCCGCAUUAUUUUCCAAAGCGUGCCGAAAAAGUAGUCGAAGGAAGAAAUGACCGAGCCUUGGGACAAGGGGAAAGAAAGAUACAAAGGAAGAGAAAUGGAAAAAGAAAGAGGGAAGAUUGGCCCCAAACCUCCCCUUCGCUGCCUCGCCCGCCAGCGUUCGGCAUUAAGGUUCGUGUAUAGCUGCAGCUAGCAGCUAGUCGUGGCCACGAUUGUCUUAAAUUUAAAUAAUCGCGGGAAAAUGUUAAUGCCCCGCGCGCCGUAAUUCAAUGAUAAAACAAAAGAAGGAAACGCGGAGCUACCCGGUUGGAUUAUUCGUUGAAAUAGGCGGGGUGGAAAGAGACAUUUGAGGAACCAGUUAGAAAGAACGAGGAGAACUAGCCGAGUGGAAAGAGGCAAAUAGAAUUAACGGGAAAAUGAAAGAAAAUUAAGAGAAGCCUAAGGAGGCGUGGUUACAAGGUUUCACAUAGUCGUCAGUUAAUUUCGGCUUCGGUCAGACCACCCUGAUUGCUUCGAAGAUUGUUUAGUCUAACGGUGUUCGGUACACAAGCUUACAUAAAUAGACACUUCCAUAAAGUGAUUAUUAAUUAGAAUGGGAUUACAACUAAUUACGAAGAGUAAAUUGAAUGAUUUCAAUCUUCCACUCCGUGGGAUAUCGUCUGGAAAAAGUGAUAUACGAGGAGAAUCCAGUAUGCUCUGCGCGGAUUAAACGAGCUGGAUCGGUCGGCGUCGUCAAUGGACUUCGUUUCGAGGGUCCUUUCAUUAUCCCAGGAACACGGGACUGGCCUCCGUCGAAGUUGUUCGCGCUGGCAAAGGGAAGAGGAUAGAGGGGCGUGUAAGAGCGUGCGAGGAAAGAAACGAACGCCGAGGGAUGAAAAGGGGAAGGUGAGCAUUAGAAGAAACAAAAGGGGUAUUUUCGUGGUGGUGAAAUAGAGAGGAGCAGACUUUUCUCCUCUCGCGUACGUAUAACCACCUGAGCCACCUUUAUGCGCACGCGGUCUCCAAGGAUUAAUGUUGCACGGCACGUUGCCAAAAAUGGACCGGCUGACCCGUGGGAUAGCUGCCAUUUUAACUCUUUCGAUGCUGUUACAAAAAUCCAUCAACAAGAGAGGGAACCGGUGGAUGAGACGUUCCCAGGCGAAGAAAAGGUCGUUCCAGACGGAGAGGGAAGAGCCGUGUCGUGAGGUGAAAGAAUAGAAACUAAAAUAGUCUUCUCAACGGCAAACGGAGAAAAACUCAUUCCGCCUGCUCGCCCGCAGCCCGGAGCUUGCUCCAUUGUGAGACGACCAAGUAUUGUGUAGUUCGUAGUAACCGUGGGCCACUGUCCUUCUCCCUGGUCCGUCCUUCUCCCUCGCCAACCUUUCCUUCCUUUCUUUUAACGUACUUGUUUCUUCCCUACGUCGUUCUUUCCUAGAAUUUCCCUGACUUUCCACGUCACGGAUGUUUCGUUCUCAUCAUCGCCGUGACAGUUUUCAGAAAUCGUUGACGGCUAAGGUGAAAUAACUCGGUGACGCGAUUGAAAGAACUUAUCAUUCAGGAACGUAGAAAAUGAAAAAUAGAAAAAAUAGUUUCGAUGCAAAUUAUAGUUUGCAUUUAAAUUUCAAGCUUAAUUUCUUUAAUGUAUUUUCAUUUCUUUUUUUUUUUUUUUUUUUCUUUCUCGAGAAAUAGUUUCGGGAAAUUGUUCGACGAUUCAGUCGACUGACAAGGUAGUGGAUGCCGAACAUUAAAAUCGGUGGGAAGAAAACGCGGUAUAGCGAGAACGGUGUUCAAAGGAGAGUUCAGGCUUGGUGGAAGAAAGGAGUUUCGAGCGUAGCCGCAAUAUUUGGGAUAUGAGUUCGGUUUCUUUUUUAGUUUCUGUUCUGCACCGGGAUUUUUACCUCUUUUCGUAUCGCCGUGCGGCUCAAUGCACCCCGCGACGCUCCAGUUCUGCGUUAUUAAAUCGAAUUUCCGUGGAAAAGUCAAAAGAUGGAGGAAGAAAGCGUCGCGUCGUGCAAGCUUGCGCUAAGUUUUUCGUAACGAGAUAUUUCAUUCCUCGAAAAUUUCUUUUUCAAAAGUUUGUGGCUGGUUUUAAUCCGAGACCAGUAAAUGCAAUGUUUAAUAGACCUUGCAAAAAUAGAAAAAUAGAAAUAUUGAAAAAUUGACUAUACAAAACAUUUAAGUAAUAACUUCUUUUUUUUAUUUUAUUACACCUAGUAUCAAAAAAUAUUUUUGGCAUAUUCAUUUUCAAAUUCAACAGUUUCAAGAAAAGUGUCGGAGAUGAUUUUCAACGAAAAGUCGAAAUUCUCCGAAUACCGUUUUCUCAUUUCCUCAUCUACUUCUUGCAGUUACUCAUUCUCUGCUUGGCCACCGUCGCAACACCCUCGAUCGUCCUGAAACGCUCUUAGCUCGAAGCAGGGAGGAAGUUUUUUUUAGAAUCCCGCCGGGAAAUUAAAAGUACUCCGGGUCGAUGACAGUCCUCCUUUCGUUAAUGUAAGGUCUAGCUUUAUUGGAAUAUUUCAUUAACAAUGAAACUUUUACAAGAUCGAAGCGAGUUGCUCGAGGAAACGAAGCUCGGCUAUUGGUUCAUAGUUCAUCGAUAGCCGCCGGGUAAAUAGAGGCGGAUAAUUGGUAUCGAUUAAUUAUUUACACCCAACGAUUUCUACCUGGGACCCAGACCAUUAUUAAUUAAUUGGUUAAUUGGUGGUCAUGGUAAUGUUCCCUAUCAAUUUUUCAGCUACUAUUAAUUUGAAUAGAAAAACAAAUAUUUAGCAUCCUUGCUGCUCUACUUUAGUUUAAUAAAAAUAUUUCUUUCACUAUUUUACUAUUUUUCCAUUUUUCUAUUUUUCUACCCCUCUUGCAACGAUAAUAAUUGGAACACCCAUAUUUUCUAAGCUAAUUUUUUAUUAUAAUUUAUUAUAUUUUACUCUCGUAUAAUGGAUGAAAAUUCAAUGUAACGAAAACGCUAUUUUCAACUAAUAUUAUUCGUGUAAAUUGCAGUUUUCAUAGUAAAAUACACGUUGCACCGACAGAAUCCGUAUAAUUUGAAUUCAUAAGCUUCAGACCUCGAUACUACAUCCAUAAAUGUUUUAAAACCCUGUUUUGUCAUUGGGAUUAGCACAUAAAUGAGCUUCAUGAUUGUACAAUGCCUGGUCUAAUAGCAUAAGAGCCUCCCCGUCAUUAAUGGGGUGCCACCGCGUCUCCCAUCGCAAGCGCCAUGUCGAACUAUGCAUCACAUCCGACCUACAAUCCAUAACAUCUCAAAUUUCAUAAAUGAAAUGUAUAUCAUUUGAAUAAAUUACACGUGUCACUCUUUGGUUAAUAUCAUCAGUUAAAUAAACCUUAAUAAAUAUAAGCUUAAUUAUAAUUAAGCCUUUCGACCACUUUUUAAAGCAGAAUAACAUUUUUUAAAUUGGGACAGACACUUUUUUUUUAAUGAAAAAUUAUUUUGCAUAGUAUAUUAGCUGAAGUCGUCAUUAAUAUAUCUGACAAAUUUUCCCGCAAAAAUAAAUGUUUAUGCAAAAACAAGAUUAUCGUGUUAACAUCUACGUAGAGAGAAUGUCGAGGCGCAGGAACGAGAUCAGAUCGAACGAUCGAAAUUUCGUUCGACGCUUCGAUACAUAAGCGUAAUAUAUUUCAGCUGCUCUAUAGGCAGGAUUCCGAAAAUUGUGGACAUUCGUUUCAGCGGCGCGACGUAUCUGCUUAAUCGCUAGUUUUAAAGAUUUAUCGAUGGAACGGCCGAUCCGUUUCGCUAUCCGAAAUCAUUUUUCGAUUGAUUAUCGCUGUCUGCCUUUUUCCCCGAUCUUUCUCUCUCGGCUCGAACGUCGACGAAAAAUGUUUCGUGACCGUUCGUCGCCUGACCAACCUGAUAUCUACCAUCUCGUUAUAGAAAAAAAAAAAACCGUGGAAUUUUCAACG
Molecule: long non-coding RNA, 4869 nt
Organism: Osmia lignaria (orchard mason bee)
Lineage: Eukaryota; Metazoa; Arthropoda; Insecta; Hymenoptera; Megachilidae
Source: RefSeq, a predicted model, not a curated record